This 253-nucleotide ribosomal RNA is filed under the name uncultured bacterium. RNAcentral's name for it is "partial 16S ribosomal RNA". It matches the Rfam family "Bacterial small subunit ribosomal RNA", at positions 524 to 776 of the family's 1533-position model. The record is from RNAcentral.
UACGUAGGUGGCGAGCGUUGUCCGGAUUUACUGGGCGUAAAGGGAGCGUAGGCGGACUUUUAAGUGAGAUGUGAAAUACUCGGGCUCAACUUGAGUGCUGCAUUCCAAACUGGAAGUCUAGAGUGCAGGAGAGGAGAAUGGAAUUCCUAGUGUAGCGGUGAAAUGCGUAGAUAUUAGGAGGAACACCAGUGGCGAAGGCGGCCUGCUGGACGGUGACUGACGCUGAGGCUCGAAAGCGUGGGGAGCAAACAGG